RNAcentral lists this ribosomal RNA (300 nucleotides) under uncultured bacterium. RNAcentral's name for it is "bacterial SSU rRNA". It matches the Rfam family "Bacterial small subunit ribosomal RNA", at positions 114 to 427 of the family's 1533-position model. The record is from RNAcentral.
CACGUGAGAAUCUGCCCUUAGGAGGAGGAUAACAGCUGGAAACGGUUGCUAAUACUCCAUACGCUGAAAAGUGAAAGGAUUUAUCUGCCUAAGGAGGAGCUCGCGUCUGAUUAGCUAGUUGGUAAGGUAAAGGCUUACCAAGGCGACGAUCAGUAGCUGGUUUGAGAGGACGAUCAGCCACACUGGGACUGAGACACGGCCCAGACUCCUACGGGAGGCAGCAGUGGGGAAUUUUCCGCAAUGGGCGAAAGCCUGACGGAGCAAUGUCGCGUGGAGGAAAGAAGGCUCGGUGGGUUAGUA